UAGGGAAUCUUCCACAAUGGGCGAAAGCCUGAUGGAGCAACGCCGCGUGUGUGAUGAAGGGUUUCGGCUCGUAAAACACUGUUGUAAGAGAAGAAUGACAUUGAGAGUAACUGUUCAAUGUGUGACGGUAUCUUACCAGAAAGGAACGGCUAAAUACGUGCCAGCAGCCGCGGUAAUACGUAUGUUCCAAGCGUUAUCCGGAUUUAUUGGGCGUAAAGCGAGCGCAGACGGUUAUUUAAGUCUGAAGUGAAAGCCCUCAGCUCAACUGAGGAAUUGCUUUGGAAACUGGAUGACUUGAGUGCAGUAGAGGAAAGUGGAACUCCAUGUGUAGCGGUGUAAUGCGUAGAUAUAUGGAAGAACACCAGUGGCGAAGGCGGCUUUCUGGACUGUAACUGACGUUGAGGCUCGAAAGUGUGGGUAGCAAACAGG
This 429-nucleotide ribosomal RNA is filed under the name bacterium. RNAcentral's name for it is "partial 16S ribosomal RNA". It matches the Rfam family "Bacterial small subunit ribosomal RNA", at positions 355 to 776 of the family's 1533-position model. The record is from RNAcentral.